UAUUACGCUAACCAAUAAGAUCCUUUCUCUUUAGUGUAAACGGAAGAGAACAGUAACCAAGAACAAUUUCCACGUUAGCGUUUUUACUGUUGUUAUUUAGACCUGUAUUAACACCCUGGAACUCAAAAUAUGAUUAAUAAUUUCCCCAGGUAAUGUUUGAUUCGCGUUGGAAAUAGGACUUGGUGGAUAGAUGUUAUCUAGGUAACGCUAGCUAGUAGCUGUUAACAAUGGCUAACUGUAUGGUUUUUCACACCCAAUUAGCCUCCAUCAUGGAGGUGCUAGCGAAUUCAGCCGUUGCAGAGAUCUGUAAACUCGUAGACGACGACUAUGCAGUGUUUCGUUUGGAAAUAACUCAAAGCCAGAAAGAAAACAGGUCAUUGCGGAGAAAACUGCAGCUACUGGAAAUUAAGGUGGCACGGGAUCGCGCAGAGAGGACAAUGCGAGAGCGCGUUCUCGCCAGUCGUCCCAGUAGUGACAAGUCCCUCGACCGAUACAGAGGAAUGGCAAGAGGUGAAGGACAUCUUACUGGAGGCCACAAGAGCUUUGUGAAGCCAGCGGAACACAACGCAUGUAGAGAUGGCCAACCCAUAGCUAUAGAUGAGGGGAGUGGAUCCUCAACCCAGCAUGUUAUCGUGAUAGAGUCAGCAGAGGCUGCAGGACCUGGGGUCAAGCAGGAGAAGACUGAAGGAGAGGAGAACUCAAGACACAGCAGAGACAUCCAGACUGGCACAGCAGCAGGAGUGGCGCUCCCUGUAGCCACGGAGGACCUCACCACCUCUGUCGCACCGCAGGUCAGGACCCGACACAGCAUCAUGGAGGUGGAGGAGGGUCCAGAGGUGCUGCGGGUGAAGGAGGAGGGGUGUGAGGAGGGUCUGGGGAACCCUGUGGGGACCAUGGUCAUGGAGGACAGACUACACCUCCUUCUGAACCCACAGAGGAACCAGCUGAGCAGCACAGUCUCACUGAGUCAGUAGACAUGGAGGAUGGGAAGAUUGAUCUGCUGCUGGUCAAAGAGGAGACGAUAGAAGAUGAACCAGAGGGCAUUGACCUGCUGAGUGGACUAAAGAUGGGGGAGCAAGAGUUCUCUAAUGGUGGUUGGCUGGAGGCUAAAAGAGGAGACUGGGCGGCCAUCUUGGAUUCCCAGACCCAGAUGGGUGCAGCCAAGGGCCUGGGGGAGGACAUCACUGAGCAUGCCAGGACCAGAAGCGACAUAGUGGGAGUCAGUGGAUAAGACAGCGUCCUCAACUCUGGUCUGGGUAUCAACACCACAACCAGAAACAGUCGAACACAAAACAACAACUGAACUUAGUCUCCAUGACAAAAGACGGGCUGAGUACCAGGGCGAGGAGUAGAUUUGGUCUGCGGGACGGGGAGGUGUCCGUAUGCAGGGGGAGAGAACAGAUACUGACUUGGCUAAAGAUGCUCCAUCCUGCUCCUAAUAGUUGUGAUUCAGAGAGACUGGUGGCGCCUCAGGUUAACCCACUAAACGGUGCUGCCUUCAGCCUGCCGCCUUAAGGAUCCAUCAACUGGAACAUGGCCCCUGCGACAAUACAGACAUUCACUGGCCUUUGUCCUCCUCACACUCUCCUAAUGUUAAACCAGACCUCAGACAAUGCCAGUGCCUCAACACCAAUUUGUUACACAAAUUACAGUAGUAGUAAUGCUAUCAGUAGAUCCGGUGGCAAAGAGAAGCGCUUCCCAUGUUCAUUCUGUGAGAAAGCCUUCAGUUUCACCAAACAGGUGGAGAUGUACCAGAGGAUGCACACGGGGGAGAAAUCAUUCUGCUGCCAUCUGUGCAGGGCCAAUUCCUCCCACUUUUCCAACCGGAAGAGGCACCAGACAGUCCACACAGGGGAGAAAUCCUACAGUGUGAAAACAGGUUCUCCCACCAGCUGAAGAUGAACCUGGAGAGAGGCCGUUCAUCUGAACGCACUGCGGGAAGGGGUUCUCAGAGAGGAGAUACCUCAGGAUACACCAGCAGAAAAGCCCAUGUAUAACGUUAGUUCCAUAAAGUUUUCAGUCACUGCCAUGGAUUUCAGUCAUAUGGAUUCUGGUUUAGAGAUGACAUAGCCUAAUACAGCAUGUCUGUUCUACGAAAUAUAUUCCCAAACAUUGUAUUUUCUCUGUUAAACUGUGUGCACUGAACUGACAUGCAGGAUUGUUGAUGACACGUCAAUGUUCAGAUGGAAGGGAUGAAAUGGUCUGUAAAGGGCACCUCAGCAGCGCUCUCAACUCAGACAGUGGUGUGUAGCUUACUGUAGCUGCUGGCAAAGUAAUUCAAAGCCUCUAAUUUAUCACUCAGGAUGUUACUUUCCAGUGCUACUAUUUUUUUCCAUGUAAUGUUAUUAUUAAAACAAAAUAAGACAGCCCAAUAGUAGAAUAGUGUUCAGUGCUUACUUUGUAAAUUGGGAGGUACCAGAACAAAGUGAGCCCGAGAGGGGGGUGACCUGGGGAGUUCUAAGGUACCAGAAUACAUGAGAAAAAAGCAGGAGAGUAGAAGCACUUAGAAGUUGCACACACGGGGAACAUUUUUAGUAGACUAGGGUCCAAGAAAAUGUUGGCCUUUUAUAAACGCAUCUCAUGCAAUUCUAGGUCAUUUACAUGACUGGAGACUUUGGCAGAAUCUUUUUUUUUUUACAUUUUAAAAAUUCUGCACAAAUUAUCUAAAUGGCAGGUUACUUUCUCACGUUCAAACCGAGAAUCUGAGAUCAAUAAAAAACCACCGUGUCUUGAAUCCAUCAAUAGUCUAGGUGUGUAUAUAGGCUCGCUGGUGAUUGUCGAUGCGCUCAUGCCAAAAGCCUCUCUCUCUUUUUGUAAAACAAUAUUUGGAAGUUGAUCAAAUAUUUUGGUAGCAUACAGAAAAGUCU
Oncorhynchus mykiss (rainbow trout) is the source of this 2867-nucleotide non-coding RNA. Lineage: Eukaryota; Metazoa; Chordata; Actinopteri; Salmoniformes; Salmonidae. The record is from RefSeq and is a predicted model, not a curated record.